CCUACGGGUGGCUGCAGUGGGGAAUAUUGGACAAUGGGGGCAACCCUGAUCCAGCCAUGCCGCGUGUGUGAAGAAGGCCCUCGGGUUGUAAAGCACUUUCAGUGAGGAAGAACGCCUGGUGGUUAAUACCCAUCAGGAAAGACAUCACUCACAGAAGAAGCACCGGCUAACUCCGUGCCAGCAGCCGCGGUAAUACGGAGGGUGCGAGCGUUAAUCGGAAUUACUGGGCGUAAAGCGCGCGUAGGUGGCUUGAUAAGCCGGUUGUGAAAGCCCCGGGCUCAACCUGGGAACGGCAUCCGGAACUGUCAAGCUAGAGUGCAGGAGAGGAAGGUAGAAUUCCCGGUGUAGCGGUGAAAUGCGUAGAGAUCGGGAGGAAUACCGGUGGCGAAGGCGGCCUUCUGGACUGAGACUGACACUGAGGUGCGAAAGCGUGGGUAGCAAACAGGAUUAGAUACCCUGGUAGUC
RNAcentral lists this ribosomal RNA (465 nucleotides) under Vreelandella stevensii. Its description in RNAcentral is "partial 16S ribosomal RNA". It matches the Rfam family "Bacterial small subunit ribosomal RNA", at positions 338 to 795 of the family's 1533-position model. The record is from RNAcentral. Lineage: Bacteria; Pseudomonadati; Pseudomonadota; Gammaproteobacteria; Oceanospirillales; Halomonadaceae.